Paramuricea clavata is the source of this 446-nucleotide non-coding RNA. NCBI's taxonomy places the organism in Eukaryota, Metazoa, Cnidaria, Anthozoa, Malacalcyonacea, Plexauridae. The record is from the annotation of a GenBank genome assembly.
CAAUAAUUACAAUAACCACCACGGUGAUUACUUUUUAACAAUGAGUUUAAGGAUUAACACUGAAAAUGCAAAAUAUGCGUGGUGUGCUGUGAAGCGUCAUAAGUCCUAUUGAGUAUUCAUCUACUGUAACUGUGUAAAGCCCUUUCGAUACAUGUAAUUGUAAAUUUGUAUUCUUACAUGCAGGGCUUGAAAUAACGUUCCCAAAGUUCCCGACCAUGGUGAUCGGCAGUCGCGACUUUCCCUGCUUUUUUCAGGUUGGAAACCGAAACUCUGCUUUUCUGCCGAUCAUAAGCAAUUCCUUGCCGAUCAUUGACCGGUGAUCGGUUGUUAUUUCAAGCUCUGUCUUAACAAUUUUGAAUUGAUACUGAUUUCAAAUGAUUAAAGCCAUGUAAUAGUUAUCCCAUGCAACUGUUAGGAAGGGCGAAAUUUUGAACGGAGGACGACAG